UAGGGAAUAUUGGGCAAUGGGGGAAACCCUGACCCAGCAACGCCGCGUGAGGGAAGAAGGCCUACGGCUGUAAACCUCUGUCAUAUGGGAAGAAGGAAUGACAGUACCAUAUGAGGAAGCUCCGGCUAACUACGUGCCAGCAGCUGCGGUAAUACGUAGGGAGCAAGCGUUGUCCGGAAUUACUGGGCGUAAAGGGUGCGUAGGCGGCAUGUUAAGUUAGAUGUCAAAUACCCGGGCUUAACCCGGGGACGCAUCUAAAACUGGCGUGCUUGAGUGCAGGAGAGGAAAGCGUAAUUCCUAGUGUAGCGGUGUAAUGCGUAGAUAUUAGGAGGAACACCAGUGGCGAAGGCGGCUUUCUGGACUGUAACUGACGCUGAAGCACGAAAGCGUGGGGAGCAAACA
RNAcentral lists this ribosomal RNA (402 nucleotides) under uncultured prokaryote. RNAcentral's name for it is "bacterial SSU rRNA". It matches the Rfam family "Bacterial small subunit ribosomal RNA", at positions 355 to 774 of the family's 1533-position model. The record is from RNAcentral.